This 528-nucleotide ribosomal RNA is filed under the name Clonostachys rosea. Its description in RNAcentral is "eukaryotic LSU rRNA". The stretch from base 162 to 315 matches the Rfam family "5.8S ribosomal RNA". Lineage: Eukaryota; Fungi; Ascomycota; Sordariomycetes; Hypocreales; Bionectriaceae. The record is from RNAcentral.
AUUACCGAGUUUACAACUCCCAAACCCAUGUGAACAUACCUACUGUUGCUUCGGCGGGAUUGCCCCGGGCGCCUCGUGUGCCCCGGAUCAGGCGCCCGCCUAGGAAACUCAACUCUUGUUUUAUUUUGGAAUCUUCUGAGUAGUUUUUACAAAUAAAUAAAAACUUUCAACAACGGAUCUCUUGGUUCUGGCAUCGAUGAAGAACGCAGCGAAAUGCGAUAAGUAAUGUGAAUUGCAGAAUUCAGUGAAUCAUCGAAUCUUUGAACGCACAUUGCGCCCGCCAGUAUUCUGGCGGGCAUGCCUGUCUGAGCGUCAUUUCAACCCUCAUGCCCCUAGGGCGUGGUGUUGGGGAUCGGCCAAAGCCCGCGAGGGACGGCCGGCCCCUAAAUCUAGUGGCGGACCCGUCGUGGCCUCCUCUGCGAAGUAGUGAUAUUCCGCAUCGGAGAGCGACGAGCCCCUGCCGUUAAACCCCCAACUUUCCAAGGUUGACCUCAGAUCAGGUAGGAAUACCCGCUGAACUUAAGCAUA